Molecule: ribosomal RNA, 722 nt
Filed under: Salmonella enterica
Lineage: Bacteria; Pseudomonadati; Pseudomonadota; Gammaproteobacteria; Enterobacterales; Enterobacteriaceae
Also listed under: 3 other names
Description: bacterial LSU rRNA
Rfam family: Bacterial large subunit ribosomal RNA
Source: RNAcentral
GGGUUGUGAGGUUAAGCGACUAAGCGUACACGGUGGAUGCCCUGGCAGUCAGAGGCGAUGAAGGGCGUGCUAAUCUGCGAUAAGCGCCGGUAAGGUGAUAUGAACCGUUAUAACCGGCGAUACCCGAAUGGGGAAACCCAGUGUGACUCGUCACACUAUCAUUAACUGAAUCCAUAGGUUAAUGAGGCGAACCGGGGGAACUGAAACAUCUAAGUACCCCGAGGAAAAGAAAUCAACCGAGAUUCCCCCAGUAGCGGCGAGCGAACGGGGAGGAGCCCAGAGCCUGAAUCAGCAUGUGUGUUAGUGGAAGCGUCUGGAAAGGCGCGCGAUACAGGGUGACAGUCCCGUACACAAAAGCGCAUGUGCUGUGAGCUCGAUGAGUAGGGCGGGACACGUGGUAUCCUGUCUGAAUAUGGGGGGACCAUCCUCCAAGGCUAAAUACUCCUGACUGACCGAUAGUGAACCAGUACCGUGAGGGAAAGGCGAAAAGAACCCCGGCGAGGGGAGUGAAAAAGAACCUGAAACCGUGUACGUACAAGCAGUGGGAGCCCCACCACUAAGCCAGUGGUGAACUCCACAUACGCAUCCUUUGCUGAGGAUACGGUUAACGGAGCGAAAGCGACGUUCAACCGCAAAAGAAGCAGAGGGGGCUUAGUGGUGGGGUGACUGCGUACCUUUUGUAUAAUGGGUCAGCGACUUAUAUUCUGUAGCAAGGUUAACCG